This 468-nucleotide ribosomal RNA is filed under the name uncultured bacterium. Its description in RNAcentral is "partial 16S ribosomal RNA". The stretch from base 56 to 468 matches the Rfam family "Bacterial small subunit ribosomal RNA", at positions 37 to 507 of the family's 1533-position model. The record is from RNAcentral.
GGGGGGGGGGGGGGGGGGGCGGGGGGGGGGCGGGGCGGAGGGGGGGGCCCGGGUGUGGGGGGGUGCGCGCGGGGCGGCCGGGUGGGGAACGCGUGAGGCACCUGCCCUUGACUGUGGGCUAGCUUCAGGAAACUGGGGCUAAUCCCGGAUAGGAGCUCCUGCUGCAUGGUGGGGUUUGGACAGUUUCGGCGGUUGGGGAUGGACUCGCGGCUUAUCAGCGUGUUGGUGGGGUAGUGGCUUACCAAGGCUUUGACGGGUAGCCGGCCUGAGAGGGUGACCGGCCACAUUGGGACUGAGAUACGGCCCAGACUCCUACGGGAGGCAGCAGUGGGGAAUAUUGCACAAUGGGCGGAAGCCUGAUGCAGCAACGCCGCGUGCGGGAUGACGGCCUUCGGGUUGUAAACCGCUUUCGCCUGUGACGAAGCGUGAGUGACGGUAAUGGGUAAAGAAGCACCGGCUAACUACGUG